GAUGAAGAACGUAGCGAAAUGCGAUAAGUAGUGUGAAUUGCAGACUUUAGUGAAUCAUCGAAUCUUUGAACGCACAUUGCGCCCCUUGGUAUUCCAUUGGGCAUGCCUGUUCGAGCGUCAUUUAACCCCUCAAGCUCACGCUUGGUGUUGGGCGUCUGUCCGCGCUUUCGGGCGUGGACUCGCCCCAAAUCCAUUGGCAGCGGCUCCGCCGGCUUCUCGCGCAGGACUUUGCGCUCCGGGAAGGCCUUCGGCGGGCUCGCGUCCAUCAAGACACCCCUCAUUUUGACCUCGAAUCAGGUAGGGAUACCCGCUGAACUUAAGCAUAUCAAUAAGCGGAGGAA
RNAcentral lists this unclassified non-coding RNA (341 nucleotides) under soil metagenome. RNAcentral describes it as "partial contains 5.8S ribosomal RNA, internal transcribed spacer 2, and large subunit ribosomal RNA". The stretch from base 1 to 120 matches the Rfam family "5.8S ribosomal RNA", at positions 35 to 154 of the family's 154-position model. The record is from RNAcentral.